This is a long non-coding RNA of Fukomys damarensis (Damara mole-rat), 1699 nucleotides long. The record is from Ensembl. Lineage: Eukaryota; Metazoa; Chordata; Mammalia; Rodentia; Bathyergidae.
GUUCACUAUUGUUCUUUACUUUGUUGAAAAUGCAUAAAGACUGGAAACUAAAAUAUAUUUUAGAAACGUCUGCAGCAUAAAAAUAACAUCCAGGGGCUUCAGACUAUUAAAAAGCACUGCUCUGUUCCUUCCUUCCUUCCACCUCUCUGCAUCCAGGUUCCUGUAAUGUUCAAUUUUGGUUUGAAGCAAUGGCUGAAAGACAAACUGCUUUCCAACAGGUCUUCCAUGAGAGCUGGGAGAAGGCCACUGACACAGCUAUGGCACGGUGGACAGAGGACAGGAGCUGGAGACCUGCAGACCCUGGCUUUAGUCAAAACAACAGACUUUGAAAAUGGUUCUGGACAAAGCGGAAGUCAAGGAUUCCAAAGCUGCGCAGAAUGGUUCCUGUGUCCAGCGCAGCGCUGGGAAGGUCCUGGCUCUGUUCCGGUGGAGCCUGGGACAUUCGAAGGCCUCUGCUGACUUGGAAAAGAGCAGAACUGCCCAAGCUUGCAUCUCACCAAUGUGAUCUGAAGGGAAGUUGGACAUGUAAUAUAUUUUAUUCCUAUUUAAAAACACAUUUGGAAUAAGGCUGCACCAGCAUCAGCACUGUAUUUAUAUUAAGAAAGAUGGAUUAUGAAAAAAAGGCUGCAUGACUUUUGCCCCUGACAAUCUCUUGAGGUUUUUGUGGUGGGGUGGCCCCGACCCUCUAUGAAUCCUUGGCUGUUCUGCCUCCUCCUGCAAUAAAGCCCCGUGUGCCCCUGAGGUCCGGCCAUUGCUGGAAAUGUACAGGUGACGGCUGGGGCCUGAGUUCUCCUUAGAAGCUGCAGGGUGUGCCUGACAGUUCUCCAGGGAGCAGGCAUUCAAGAAACCCCCUGAAGUUUGCCCAGGACUUUGGAAUACUAUGAAGUUCAUAUAUGGUUCUGCCGCCUGCUUCGCAAGCGCAAGGCCCCGAGUUCGAUCCCCAGUACAAACAAACAAACAAUCCCCCGAAACACACAGACCAACCUGAGCAGAUUUUCUACUGCAAGUGUUACUAGGAUUGCUUUGAUUUUCUUUCUAUUUUCCUUUUCUUACUUUGGCCGUGGAUUGAAACGGAGGAGUUUGGUGGGAAGAGUGGCGGCUGGAAUUCUGGGGCAGCUCGGGAGGGCUCUGACUCCAUCUCACCACUCAGAGGUGGGUGAAAGCCAGCCAGUUCUUGUUUCCUGUUUCAUCUCAGCCCGGUCUCCCUCUCAGGUGGCUCUGCAGACGCCUGGCCUUACGCACACAGGAGGCGGGGUGCGGGCACCACCUCCCCAGCACUCAGCCCCCAGGGGGCCACAUCACGUAGGCUGUAAAAAGUGUGGAAGCCGCAAUUUCCACCAAUGCAAGGGCCCCAGGCAGAGAAGCAGCACCUGUUAGACGAGCGCUCGCUCGGGGACAGACGGGAGUCCCGCGGGUGCUGUAGAGCGAGGACUUGAGACCACGCAGCGCAGGGCCCUGCACCGCAGAGGACUGGAGGCUGCAAACCAGUGUCCAGACACCAGCAACCUCACCCCAUCUCAGUGCAGUGGGGCUGCGUGGGAAGGAGCCAGCCCCCUUUCCCGUUCCCUCUCCCCUGCCUGUUUUCCCACCCUCCUUUUCAGCCCACAGGUUUCCCGAAGUCCAGUGCCGAGAAGUCAAGAGGGGGCACGUGCGGGACACCAGGCAGGCUUCCUUCUGUGCAGCCAAAGGCUGAAGGGAG